GAUGAACGCUGGCGGCGUGCCUAAUACAUGCAAGUCGAACGCAUUGUGGUUGAAAUGAUAUGAAGAACUUGUUCAGAUUUGAUUUUCAACAUUGCAAUGAGUGGCGAACGGGUGAGUAACACGUGGGAAACCUACCUCUUAGCAGGGGAUAACAUUUGGAAACAAAUGCUAAUACCGUAUAAUAAUUAAAACCGCAUGGUUUUAGUUUAAAAGAUGGUCUUGCUAUCACUAAGAGAUGGUCCCGCGGUGUAUUAGUUAGUUGGUGAGGUAAUGGCUCACCAAGACAAUGAUACAUAGCCGAGUUGAGAGACUGACCGGCCACAAUGGGACUGAGACACGGCCCAUACUCCUACGGGAGCAGCAGUAGGGAAUCUUCCACAAUGGACGAAAGUCUGAUGGAGCAACGCCGCGUGUGUGAUGAAGGGUUUCGGCUCGUAAAACACUGUUGUAAGAGAAGAAUGACAUUGAGAGUAACUGUUCAAUGUGU
RNAcentral lists this ribosomal RNA (487 nucleotides) under uncultured bacterium. RNAcentral describes it as "bacterial SSU rRNA". It matches the Rfam family "Bacterial small subunit ribosomal RNA", at positions 28 to 477 of the family's 1533-position model. The record is from RNAcentral.